RNAcentral lists this ribosomal RNA (442 nucleotides) under Brachymonas sp. canine oral taxon 015. RNAcentral describes it as "bacterial SSU rRNA". It matches the Rfam family "Bacterial small subunit ribosomal RNA", at positions 9 to 449 of the family's 1533-position model. The record is from RNAcentral. Lineage: Bacteria; Pseudomonadati; Pseudomonadota; Betaproteobacteria; Burkholderiales; Comamonadaceae.
GAGUUUGAUUCUGGCUCAGAUUGAACGCUGGCGGCAUGCUUUACACAUGCAAGUCGAACGGCAGCACAGGGAGCUUGCUCCUGGGUGGCGAGUGGCGAACGGGUGAGUAAUGUAUCGGAACGUGCCUGGUAGUGGGGGAUAACUACUCGAAAGAGUGGCUAAUACCGCAUGAGAUCUUUGGAUGAAAGCGGGGGACCUUCGGGCCUCGUGCUACUGGAGCGGCCGAUAUCAGAUUAGGUUGUUGGUGGGGUAAAGGCCUACCAAGCCUGCGAUCUGUAGCUGGUCUGAGAGGACGACCAGCCACACUGGGACUGAGACACGGCCCAGACUCCUACGGGAGGCAGCAGUGGGGAAUUUUGGACAAUGGGCGCAAGCCUGAUCCAGCAAUGCCGCGUGCAGGACGAAGGCCUUCGGGUUGUAAACUGCUUUUGUACAGAACGAA